AGUGGGAGCGAGCCUGCUCGCGAAAGCGCAGGGUCUGACACAUUGAUGGUGAAUGUGCCGGCCUCUUCGCGAGCAGGCUCGCUCCCACA
This 89-nucleotide unclassified non-coding RNA is filed under the name Pseudomonas sp. B10. Lineage: Bacteria; Pseudomonadati; Pseudomonadota; Gammaproteobacteria; Pseudomonadales; Pseudomonadaceae. The record is from RNAcentral.